RNAcentral lists this ribosomal RNA (500 nucleotides) under uncultured bacterium. RNAcentral describes it as "partial 16S ribosomal RNA". It matches the Rfam family "Bacterial small subunit ribosomal RNA", at positions 28 to 507 of the family's 1533-position model. The record is from RNAcentral.
GACGAACGCUGGCGGCGUGCUUAACACAUGCAAGUCGAACGGGUCUGCCCUGUUUUUUGCGGGGUGGGUCAGUGGCGAACGGGUGAGUAACACGUUAGUAACCUGCCCCUCACUUCUGGAUAACCGCUUGAAAGGGUGGCUAAUACGGGGUGUUCUGGCUGUGCCGCAUGGUGUGGCUGGGAAAGAUUCACUUUUGUUGUGUUUUGGUGGGUGAUGGGCUCGCGGCCUAUCAGCUUGUGGGUGGGGUGAUGGCCUGCCAAGGCUUUGAGGGGUAGCCGGCAUGAGAGGGUGGGCGGCCACACUGGGACUGAGAUGCGGACCAGACUCCGGGGGGAGGCAGCAGUGGGGGGUAUUGCACAAUGGGAGGAAGGCUGAUGCAGCGACGUGGCGUGAGGGAUGGAGGCCUGCGGGUUGUGAACCUCUUUCGGCGGUGAAGAAGGUCCUGCUCUUUGGGGUGGGGUUGACGGUAGCCGGGUUAUGAAGCGCCGGCUAACUACGUG